GAAAAAAAUCUGCGAUAACAAGAAGCUUCUAACUUUUUAGUUGGGGGGUUGAAUUCCGUCCUUUUUUCU
This 69-nucleotide transfer RNA is filed under the name Lysmata boggessi. RNAcentral's name for it is "tRNA-Ser". Lineage: Eukaryota; Metazoa; Arthropoda; Malacostraca; Decapoda; Hippolytidae. The record is from RNAcentral.